CAAAGCCAUCGCUUGCUGGCAGGCCUUAGGUGUUGGCCUUACAGUUUUAGCUAACGUCAUCUCAUUUGCAGGGACAGCAGGUUAUGAAGCCACAGAAAUAUCCAGACAAUAACCAUUAAUCUUCUAAAACACAGGGCUACCACAGCCUGCUGGAACAUGCACAGAGACAGAACAGAACUCCGAAUAAACAAGGACUUCCUUUCAGUCCCUCACAAAGAUGAUAAAGUGGAUGCCAUGGAAGGCAAGAGGACGUCAACGUUCUCUGAAGCAGCACACAGAUCUGCCUGCCAGCACCAUGGAGACAGGCUGCAGUGUGCGGCCGUGUCCUUCUGUUCCUCCUGUCCCUGUCUCCACACCUGGGUUAGUCAGGGACAUUCAAACAACCCACACCGACAUAUUCUGACCACAUUCACCCUGCCAGCUCCAAGAAGAUACCUUCACGCUUCUUGCUGGACAUGGCUGGGGCCAGGUGCCCCAAGCAGAAGGACAGCAGUGGACUAGGAGCAACCUCAGCCAGGCUGCCCAGGGAGAUGGUGAAGUCACCAUCCCCAGAGGCAUUGAAGAAACAUGUAGAUGUGGUACUUCGGGACACGGCUUAGUUGACAAUAUUAGUGGUAGGCAGACGGUUGGACUAUAUCUUAAAGGUCUCUUCCAACCUUGUUGAUUCUACCAUUCUCUCUGGGCACAUCCCAAGGAGACAGAGGAGCCUUGAAAACACUGCUGAGCUCCAUAUUCUGGUCCUAUACGUCCUUCAUGGAAAUAAUAAUCUCAGAUGGGGAUAUAAACCGUAAUCUAUGAUCAGAUGGAAAACAGACUGCUACAGUGUCACAGAAUACAUACAUAUAUUUAGGAAGAACACGGAUAUAUAAUCACUUAAUGAAAGUUUGCAUUUUCACAGAACUAUCUUGACAUUGUAGUCAUGCUUCAAAGUACUAACUAUCAAGGAGGUCUAUAAUUCCAGGAAAUCAAGAACUUCACUCUAAAUGGGAAUAGCCUGUCAGAUGGAGGUUUCUUUUUCACAAAUCCUAGGAAUUGCAGUGCAAUGUAGUACAAUGGAUAGGAGACAUGGAUACUGCUGUUUUCUUGUGUUACUGCUCACGCUUUCACUACAAAACAGUUUUUCUUUCCUCUUGUUUGAAAUUAUGUAUUCAGACGCUGGUCAGCUCUGAAGCAUUCAGUGCAACCGAAAAGGAACUCCUAAUUUCU
RNAcentral lists this long non-coding RNA (1206 nucleotides) under Numida meleagris (helmeted guineafowl). RNAcentral describes it as "lncRNA (ENSNMEG00000021067.1)". Lineage: Eukaryota; Metazoa; Chordata; Aves; Galliformes; Numididae. The record is from RNAcentral.